UACGGAGGAUCCGAGCGUUAUCCGGAUUUAUUGGGUUUAAAGGGUGCGUAGGUGGAUUGGUAAGUCGGUGGUGAAAGUUUGCAGCUUAACUGUAAAAUUGCCGUUGAAACUGCCGGCCUUGAGUGCAAAUGAGGUAGGCGGAAUGCGUCGUGUAGCGGUGAAAUGCUUAGAUAUGACGCAGAACUCCGAUUGCGAAGGCAGCUUACUGGGAUGCAACUGACGCUGAGGCACGAAAGCGUGGGUAUCAAACAGGAUUAGAUACCCU
RNAcentral lists this ribosomal RNA (265 nucleotides) under uncultured prokaryote. RNAcentral describes it as "partial 16S ribosomal RNA". It matches the Rfam family "Bacterial small subunit ribosomal RNA", at positions 524 to 788 of the family's 1533-position model. The record is from RNAcentral.